GCUGCUCCGCGCCCUCCCCACCCCACUCCCGCGCCUUGCCUUCGCGGACGAGCACGGGGGCGGGGGCGGGGAGGGGGGGCCGGGAUGCACUUCCAACCUUCUCGCCCAGAGGAAGGGACCGCGGGGCGCCCCCUUUCCCGCCCCCACCCCGGGGAGAUCAGAGUGAUGCGAGCGGAUGUUCGACGGAGCGUCGAGGAGGCCAAUGCGGGUUCUGAGUCGAUUCCGGCUGCUUCGGGCGGCAACCAAGCCCUGUCAAAGGAGGCUGCGCGACCUCAGGAAGCAGAGAAAGACCAAUUAGUCGGUGCAGAUGGUCCGAGGCUUAGCAGACGGACGGACCCUCCGCGGCGGCGGCGGCGGGACGGCGCAGAGGAGGACCCGAGCCCCAAAACUCCCUCCGGCGGCUCGCGGGUCCCCGCUGCGGUGGCGCUUUCUGCGCUGUCCCUUUGCGCGAGGGGUCUUGGACCUGCGCUCUCCGCAGCUUGACGUUUGGAGAACUGCAUAGAUGACCGGUCUUGAUUCGUUACAGACGUUAACAAAUUACUUCACCCAAGAUUAUUUUAUGAUCUUUCAGCAGCUUGCUUUGAAGUCUCUGUUUAAGGUUUUUGGUUGUUGGUAGUAGCCGAAUUUAACUGGCUUUUUAUUUUAUCUCUAACUUCGUUUCGUUGCUCGGUGAAGAAUCAACAAAAUAAAACAUUUAAAGACCUAACGUUUUCCUCUGAUUUGUUUGUUAAUAAAAAUACCCUGGUUGGGGCUCCUGGGUGGCUCAGCCCGUCAAGCCUCCGGCUCUUGAUCUCUGCUGAGGUCUUGAUCUCAGGGUCCUGAGUUCAAGCCUCAGGCCGGGGCUCCUGACUGAGCACGGAGCCUACAUAAAAUUAAAAUUUUUAAAAAUGUCCUGGUGCGCUGGUGGAUUCAGAUGCUCGGGAUGUUUGGUAGUUAAAUACGACCAGGGUUCAAAGUUUUUAAACCUGGUUUCGUGAUUUGUAAAAUGAUCUAAUGAAUUUGUAAAAUGAUCUGAUCAACUGCACGUCAAGUUCAGGCACCAGGUAGAAAUAUAAGGACCGCAGGUGAGUGAGUGGAUGGCAACUUCAGGAAUUAGCUCUUAGCCAAGAUGGAUCUCUUGAUUACUUUCUUCUCUAAAAAAUGAGUUUAAAAAUACAUUGAUCAUAAAAUUAUUUGGUAUGUCAACGUCCUUCUCGAAAAUCUACUCUUUCCCUCUUAGUGGACAGAAGGUGAAAUAGUGUCAUACCGCCAUGAGCUUUCUCCCGUUCUUUACAUAAGGUUGGAGCCGUCUCCGAGGAACUUAUGACCUUGGACAUCAUUCUGAGAGGCGAAGAAAGCUCCUCUGUGUGACUGGCAAUAUUAUAAAGAAUUUGAAAUGUUUAACUCACAUGCAAUAUGUAAAUAUUUUGUAGUUAUUAAUGAAAUCCAACCACUGUUUAAGGGCAGGGGUUAAAGGAGGAGAAAGUGUCCCCUUUAGCCUGCAGAAAAUGAAAGAAAACCUGAGAUGACUUCAUUCUAUCCACAUUGGUUUAUCUGAGGUAUGUAUGCACUUAGGG
Molecule: long non-coding RNA, 1556 nt
Filed under: Canis lupus familiaris (dog)
Lineage: Eukaryota; Metazoa; Chordata; Mammalia; Carnivora; Canidae
Description: lncRNA (ENSCAFG00030009192.1)
Source: RNAcentral